CCCUUUUCCUGCAACGUCGGGAAUUCGUUGGGAGAUGGGCAGUUGGCUCCUUCGUUUUCUGCCUUUCACUUCUGUUUCCUUGAAUCACAACUGCUGCUGAUCUCAUGGUCUGUGGUUUCAUUUUCUUUCAGUUCUAGGAAUUUGUAGACUUCAGUUGUGAUUUCCUAUUUAACUAAGUAAUUAUUCAGCAGCAUGUUUUUAAUAUUCCAGAAAUGCUGAAAUGUUUAUGUUUUUGGUACCAGACUGUAACAUCAUUUUACCUUCUGUUUUCAUUCUCUGGGUUGGUCACCACGCCUUUGAAACUUGUUGCAGGUUUGUGCAUGACUCAGACGUCCUACACAUGGUCACGUGUUGUAAACGCCUUGUUUGUCCUUGAGACCUGUGUGUAUCUCCAGGUGGUCAGUGGGGUGGGGUGGAUCUUUUAUGUACCUGCCAGUUUUUACCAGCUUGAGCUACCGAUCAUUGAGAGGUGAGCUGGAAUCUCUCACUGCAAUGGGGGCUUGUCAGUUCCCCUCUGCAGUUUUAGCAAUCUUUAAAUCGCAUAUUGGGAAGCUACUUUAUUAGCUGCAUACAUAUUUUAAAUUGCUGUAUCUUUUAGUAAGUUGAGCCUUUCUCAUUAGUGACCCUCUCCACCCUAAUCAGCCAUUUAUUUUAAAGUCUAUUUUGUCUGAUUCAGGAUAGCAACACCAACUUUCUUUGGUUAGAAUAUUCCUGAUAAAUCAUCUUCCACAUUCAUACUUUCAGUGGCACUCAUAAGCUUUAGGUGUGUCUCUUAAAGCAGAAAAUACCUAGAUUUUUAUGCAACCUGACAACCUCUGGCUUUUAACUGUCAUGGGCUGCUUUCUACCAGAUUAUUACCAGCAUGUCCCAUGGUUCCUAAGCUUUUUUGCUAAUUUGUUCUUUUUUUUUUGGCUCUUUUCAGUUUAUUGCACUAAAGGAAUUAAACUAGUCCAAGUUAAAAGCAGACCCCAAAUGGUUACAUUAUAUAGACUGUGAGGUUUUUAAACGUAUGACAAGGGACAGAAGGUAAAUUCUACUUAUUUGCAGUGAGGAAAUCCUCACUUGAGCUCCAGGGGGCCAAAAGCACGUAACACCCAUGAGCCUCCCACUGGCCGUCCUAGGCCGGUCCAGCCUCUGCCAGGAAUAUGGUCUUGUGCUGGUCACCCUGGGGCGGAAUUACCUCUCCAUAUCCUGGGUGCUCGAGUACAGCACUGUGGCAGGCAAAGUUCUCAGACACCUUCACUCGUUUCUUUUUAUCGUGAUCAUCCGGGAUCCCUUGGACAGUACAAGGAUCAUCCUCAUGUUUCUGUUGAAUUCUCACAUGGAUAUAAUCCUCAGCAGCAGCAGAAGCAGAUGACCCUUACCCACAUCAGCAGAGGGGCCAAGAGUGGCGUUCUGGAUAGCGGACAUGCCCUGCACCUCCUUUUCUCAGUGGAAACGGCCUGUGGAAGGAGGCAGCGGAAGGAGGCAGGCGGGGGGACAAGAGUCGGGAAGCCAGGGGCCUCACAGGGAGGCUUAGUGACCAGCCCUGUGCUUCCUUCUCUAAACAAUGUGAUGCAGGAUCUCCCUCGACAAGAGCUGGGGCGCACCGCCCCUCGGUCCUGCUGACACCUAACUCCGGGGACACGAAGUCUUAGACCUCAGCUCCUGCCGCUCCACGGUGUCUGCUGCAUCCCCAGGCCCCAUGGCCCCCCAGCUGUUACAGCCCUAGAAUCAUGGCUUCUCGUUCCCUUGAUACUUUGAAUCUCUCCCCCCGAGCAGCUGAGGACGACGGACGGCUCUUGUUCCUUUAUAUGUCGUUCUUCCGGGGAUGAUUUCACACUUCUCUUGUGUUUGGUUUCACGGUGAUGUGCGAGGCAGGGGAGGGUUUUCCUUGUGUCCUCUGCUUGGUGCCUGGGCCCUUUCAAGCUGAGCCUGUUGUCUUUUUUUUUUUUAAUUCCAAGAAGUGUAUCUCUGUCCUUCCCUCUAGUCCUUCCCUCUCAGUUUCCAGGUUCUCUUUGGGCCUCCUGCACCCAGAUGUCAGCAUGGGGGGCCUCCCAGCCCAGUUCUGUCCUUCUGGUCCCAGCCCUUGGGCAGAGACGCUGCCAUUCAUGCCCCCAUGGGGGAGUUCUUCACCUCAGCUCUUUCCCUGUCGUAUCUAGGAUGUUUUUGCUUGGUUCUUCUUUGCUGUUUUCUUGUUCUCAUUUUUCUAAUUUAGUCUAAUCUAAUGUAUCUGUUUUAGAAAUUUUAAACUUUUAAAAUUUAAGACUAAUUGUAAAUUCUUCUGGUGGAAUCCACAACUCAGCAUGUUGUUUUCCUUAUGAAAUGGCUGCAUUCCUCAAACUUCUGGCCAUGUUGUCUGAUCCACCUUGGGAUUUUACUGUCUUUAUAGCUUCAUUUCAGAAAGAAUCACAUUUUUAAUAUUAAUCCUUCCUAGCCAGGACCAAGAUCUGCUUUUCCAUUGAUCUGAAUGCUGUUUUCUCUUCUUCCGGAGGUUGUACAAGCGCUCCACGUUUCCUGCUAAGGGUGGGGGUGUCGUGUUGCUGUGUUAGCGUGGAGACCCGGUCCAGAGCAUCUCACGCCUCCAGUGUCUUCCAGGUCCGCGUCAGCCUGCGCGCACUGACCAGACCCAUCACCGGAGGCUGAUGUCCAGGCGCAGCCCCCACCCACACUCCCGCCUGCAGAGGCCACGCCGGCUGCCAGCGUGCUCAGCCUCCCGGGAGUGUGCGUGUGCACGGGCAGGGCGGGCAUGGGGGUGUGCGCCGGGAGGGCGCCCCGCAGGGCGGGGGUAUGCGCGAGGCAGGUGAUUGCAGGGACUCACUGGGAAGGCGCCGCAGCUUCUGGACCACCGGACCCAGUCUGAGGACGCCCACCCCGCCGCCCCGGGCACUGGGACAGGCUGGCCUCGAUGCGCCACUCGGUCGCAGGAGGGUCAGCCUGAGCGAUGGCGCCACGAAGCCCUGCAGGAGGAAGAAGCCCCACCCCCCGCGGCAGAACAAAGCGCGCAGCACGUGGGCGCCCCGCGCAUGCGCGCACGUGCACUUCCAGCGUGACCCGCACACCCAGUCCGGCGCCGCAGCCCGGGGCAGUCACGCCCUAAUGGCGUCAAGUCAUAUAAGGCUCUGCGACAGGUUCAGGUUUAAAAACUGGCAGGAGAACUUCUGUUUUUAACAUGAGCCGCUGCCUGGGGGGCCUGGAAGCGCUGUGUCAUAAAUACAGGCAGCUCUUGGUUUGGGGGCAGCACCUGGUGUGAACGACCCCCGCUCCCACCUGUGCACACCUGGGGCACCUGGUCCUGCUGUGGCUGUUGGCCCGGCAGGAUGGGAAGCUGGGAUGCCACGGACCCUCCAGCGCGUCUGCUCCUGCACCACGCGGGGCGAGCCGCCUCCCCACCCCAAAUCCCCACACGCCUUCCCCUUCCUCCUGCUUCUCACCUUGGCUGGAGGCUGGAGGUGGAGAGAGGCGUACCUGGCUUCCAGGAUGGGUGGGAGGCCGGAGCUCUUGCCUGUCACCCCCAGGACACGCAGCCCUGCAUGGCACAGCAUGAGAUGCCCAAAGGACGUGACCACAGCUUCUCAUUCGUCAGAUCUGACGGCCCCUGACCUCCUGGUUCCAUGUUUCCUUCAAGGGCCUCGCUUUCUCCUGUCCCACUGUGGGAAGUGGGAUUUGGGUGCCUGUUUCGUUUCUGGGGCCCAAUGGAGGGAGGGGAUGGACGAUGGUAAGGACCACACAGCAGGGACCUGCCAGCUGGGAGGAGAGGGGCCGUUCAAGGACAAGGGUCCUGCACAGCGUCCCAUGGGGCCCCUCCGAGGGCUAUCACCUGUAUCUCCUUCAUCCCCCUCUCCUCCCAAACCCACCACCCUCGUAUUUGGUGCAUAUUUCUAAAGGUAUCUGUUCACUGUCAGUUAGCAAACCAAUGCUUUUAUUUUUCAAAAAAAGAUACCAUUAUUGGUCAAUUUAGAGCCAUAGUAAAGUGAAAUAAAUGUGAAUUUUCUUCCUUAUAGUCAGAAACCCUGAGUUGGAGUUGAGUAGUUAAUAAAACUGGCAGACACUAAGCACACCUCAGCCCAGAGGGUCACCACCGCCCUCCGGGCUCUGGGCCGGCUGCUCUCGGGGUUCCUGCUGGGCGCCUGGGGGACGGGGGAGCAUUGGUGCUGAGGCCCAGACACGGGAGGGCUUUCUGCUGGCACACCGCGGGACAUGCUGACUCCUAGCCCCCGCGGUGGUGGUGCCAGCAGGGGGGCCUCUGGGAGGUGACAGCCACAAGCAUGCAGUCCUGGUGAUGGCCUUGGUGCGCAUGUGCCCGGAGUGCUUCCGCGCCUCCCACAGCACGCGGACAGUGAGAGGUGCGGCCACGAGCCAGGAGCUGCCUCAGCAGAGGGCGCCCAGCCGCCUUGGGUCUCGGGCUUCCUGCCUCCAGGACCAUGAGAAACCCACUUCUGUCAUUUAUUGGCCAUGCAGUCUGCGGCGCUUGGAAAAACAUCCCGAACAGACCAAGACACCCAAGGACAAAAAAGUCCAAUUUUUAAAAAUUCCAAAGGUACAUGGUUAUUGCAGAAAUUUGGCAAAUUCAAAGAAUAGUGAAUGAACACAAAAUACUCAAAAUCUCAGUAUCUAGACACAGCAUUUUCAUUCAUUCUUUAAGACACAAAACAGUGUGAAGCGCACGUCUCACGUCCUGGCGUUUUCCUGGACUUUCGCUGCCGGGGCAUUACGCUGUGACAUCCUUUUUGCGGCUUCUGUAGGGCUGGCCACGCUGCACAUGCAGGAGGGUGGUGUGGGGGUUCUGCCUGUGGGUCGCUGAGAAACCCGGUGGCAGAGGCUCCAACCACACAGGUAUGGAGGGGCUUUGGCAGAAAAGGGGGUGCUCGGGUACAAUCCUUCAUUGGGGUGGUUGUGAAAGGGCAGGGCCCAAGCAGAGAUGCGGGACUCUGCAGCCUCUUGCAAAAGCAUCAGGUUUCUCCCCUGCCUAACAUACAGGGGCUCAGAAUCAGUGGAGCAGAAAAACUGGUAAUGAAUGUCAGGUGUCCCCGACUCAAAUGUGGUGGUGCCUCCCACAGUGCCACUGACAGGAUGCCACGCUACAGCUCACUGGGAGAGUGGGGUGGACAAUAGCAGCCCACUUCUUAAGCAUGUGUGUGCUUAAGCCAGUGUGGGUGGGCCUUCUGCCACCUGUGCCAGGUGUUGCCUGUGGCUCCACCGUGGCCUGCCCCACACUGCCCCUCCGUUCUUCCAAACCGACAAGCAGCUGCUUGGCUUUGGCCUUUCCACUGGCGCCUGGGGCCUCCCUGGCUCCCUGUGUCCCGCGCUGAGGGACUGGCUUCUCCGCAUCCUCCUUCCUGUGUGGCCGCCUCCAGCCCCACACUGGGGCGUCAGACACCUAAAGAAAUGUCAGGAGGUGGAACCCCAGGGCAGCUACUGUGGAAAAGUCGAGCAUUCCCUCAAAAUAGCCAAUGUGGGGUCACCACAUGAUCCAGCAGCCCACUCCCAGCAACAGGCCCAGGGGACCACUCGCUGGCACCCGUGCAGCACCCGCACACAGGUGUUUACAGCAGCCUCUCCACUGUUCCUCCAGGAGGUGGGAAACCUAAACGUUCAUCAGCCGACAAAUGGAUAAAGACAACGUGGCCUCUGCACAAUGGGACAGUGCUUAGCCUUAAACAAGAGUGAAGCCCUGACAUGCCACAGCACAGACAGACCCGGAGAACAUGGGCUCCGCGAAAGACACUGGUCCCAAAGGCACACCUUGUGCAAGACUACUCAUGGGACACGUCCACAGAGACACAAGUGGGCACAUGGGUGCCAGGGCUGAGGGAGUGUCUGCUGGUGGGGAUGGGGGUUCCUUUUGGGGGGAUGGGAGGUGCUGGCCUUCCUUGUGCCUGGGUCUGAGUGGGGGGAGGGCAGGGGCACAAGCCCGCCUCUGUUGGGUGCUCUGUGCACACCGCCAGCUCAGGCCGGGGCCACAGCCCUGUACCUGUCCAGUGUCCCUGGGCUCCUGAUCCACCUUCAAGCCCACCAGGGAGAUGACUGGGUGGCACCGGGGAGGUUGGCCUGCCAUGGUGUGGUGGGGACCAUGCCCAUCCUCGCCCUGGGGCAGCUGGAGGCGAAGCAGAAGCCUGGGAGAGGCUGUGCUCAAAGCAGAGAAGUGCGGACUUAAACACAAGUGGAGUGUGAAGCGAUGAACCCAGAGCUGCCUGCCCAGUUCCAGCUCCUGCCCUGACCCUGCCUGGACACAAGGCCCAGGGCUCGGAGUGCAGGACGCAAAGUCACUGACUCUGAUCAUGGUCCCACAAACUAGGCGGCCUGUGCUGUAGAGACCCCAAGUCAGCAGAACAGCUCAUGCUGUGAGGAGAAGAUGUCAUAUGCCCAUCAGCAAGAUUGCCGCAGACCCCCGACCCACAGCGGGCAGAGGAAUGGCCUGGAGUGUCGGACAAACUGGAGACAAACUAGAGAAAAGACUGUUCUCACAUCCUUGGUAGAAGUCCCUGGGGAUGAACGACCACCCUACCUCUUGCCUGCCCUCACACAGAUAGCACCAGCCGGGCACAGUCUGACCUUCUAAGACAUGGACCAGACGCACCCUUGACACCCUGCUUCGAUGUCCUGAUUAAUGUCACCUCUUUCCUGAUGCAUCCCUGCUGUAAGAAAGUAUAUAAAGCUGUUCUCAGACAAUGGCUUUGGACCAGACCAGAGCUCCCUGGCUGUCAUCCGGGCCGUGGUCCUGAGCCAAACUCCCUGUGUCCUCAGCUGAGCUCUCUUGUCAUCUGGGUCGUGGUCUUCAGUAAGACUGAAUAGACUCUAUUCUAAUGCAGCAGCCUGUUGAUUUCAGCCAGCAGCAACUUUCUUAGAGGUUUUCCUCAUUAUAAACUGCUGGAGUCUGGCGAAGGUCUUCUAAGACCCGUCGGUCCUGUGUGCCCAGCACUGAUACCCAGCACUUUUAAAUGUGUUAAUUAUGUCUGUUGCUGAGAGAGUGGCAUUAACGUGGAUGUGGACUUCCAGCAUGUCUGGAACUGAGGAUGCCAGGGCCUUUUAGCCCUAAUGUCCUUGACUCAAACACCGAGGGUCCUGCUCUUCAAAGAGGAGCAGGGCUUGUGGCUUUAACCAAGGGCCACGUGUGGGGUGCCUGUCACAUGGCAUGUCACCUCCUCCUGACCUGGCUGUAGGCACAGUGGGUCACUUUCCCACAUUACUUGGCAUUUUCAAAAAGCUUGGACAUUAAGGGGUUGGUGUUUGAAGCCACACCAGAAUGGCCCUGGAGUCAAACCCUUCAUCGUGACAUAUGCGUUGUGUGCAGUGCUGAGGGCACCUGGGCACUGCCCUCUUCUAGGGCCUCUGUACAGGUGUCCAGGACAGAGAGUGCGAUUUUCAGGACAAGAUGUGCAGGGCACGGGCCAGGCACUGUCAGGCCCUGAACAGGUGCCCGGGAGGCUCUGCAGGUGAGGGUGGUCUUCAGCCUGCGAUGCAGGACCCUGGACUCCAGCACGGCACCACGGGCUUCUCUGGGCCUCAGGGGAACCCCCCAGGCAGGAGCCCAGACCAGGGGCUUGAUGUGCACUCAACUGUCCUGAGGCCGGAGACUCCUGGGGAGCGGCCAGGACUCUCAGCGCUGACCUCUCCCUGUCUCAGGUUGAAUGUGUCUGUAUGUGGACACGCAUGUAAUCUGGGCUUGGCACAGGGCAAGCUCCAGACAAAGGGACCGUGCCUGGAGCUUUGUUACAAAGAUCAGCCCCGGGGUCUGACUCAGAAUCUCCAGGCAGCCUCACUGGGAGCGUUGUGGGGUCAGUGCCGCAGCCAUGGCCUGUUUAUUGGGGGAACUCUUAGCUAUCACAGAAAGUAGUAAAAUAAGUGAAGGUGGGUGGGCUAGAAGCCCCCCAUGACAGCGCAGUGGCUGGGGCCUCACGUCAGUCCUGGCUGGGCAGCCUCAGCCCCCAGGGUGGAGCCCAGCACGGGGGCCCACGCCAGUCUCAGCUUUCCAUCUGCACGGGGAGGGUGGACAGGCCACCCCCUUGGCCAUUCUGGGUACUCCCCAGUGGCUCACCCGGCUGGGCAGAGGACAUAGGGCUGCAACAUGAGGACAUGACCAUCAUUUGGUUUCCUGUUCCUGUAGCAGGUCAAUUUCACUUUAGAGGUCAUGGAAGCACAGAUGAGCAGAAAAUGUGAAUGUCCCAUGUCGUCCCAUCCACAAAGGUGGCCUUUGCCAGCUCUGGUCUCAGUCCUCUGACCUGUGACCCCUGCCUUUGGGGCCAGGCCCUCCACACUCAAGGUCCCGAGGUCAUUAAUUGCCUCUUCCUGGUGGUUCCAGUUCACUACGCAUGGCCUUCCUGGGAUGGGCCCCAGAAACCAGGGCACCUGCUCCCAGGGGCCCCUUCACACACUGAGGCACCGCACAUCCACACUCCCAAGUGCGUGCUCAGGCCCACACCACACACACCACAGGCACUUACAAGUGCACGUGCUCGGUGGGUCUCUGGGCUGGGGACUGGUGAGUAGCUGGGGCUCCUCCGCAGGGACAUGACUGGGGCAGGGAGCACCAGAGUCCGUGCAGCCUGAAAUGACCACCAGGGAGAGCCACUGGCAAACAGUGAGCCUGAGCACCCGAGGAAAUGGGUGCUCCCCCCGCUGGGCUGCUCUGCAGUGUGUCCGGGAUCCCCAGGUCACGUGCGCCUGGAAACCCCCGGUUUCCAUGACCUCCAUGUCACUUCCCAAAGACACGUGGAUUGGAUUCAGGCCUGUGCUUCUGUGCCUGGUUUUCUCCGGUUGCACAUCUUUAAACAACAUGCAGGGACACGUGAGAUCCUUACACCCAAGGGUCUUUCACACCCAUGCCCCUUCCACUGUGCGUGGUUCUGCUCUUACUUCAACAUGAACAGGUUACACUGAAAUACAUACAUAAAGCUGCUUUUAGGUGGAAAAAUGUGUUUCUCAUGGAGCGUGGUUUCUCAUCACGUGACAGGUGAUGGGCCUGCCUCCCGAGGGCGGUCGCCCAGCGGCUGAGGACCAGGGUGGUGCAACAUCACUCCGAUCUGCCCAGAAUGUUUAGUCGUUGGCGUUUUCCCCUUAGCUUCAUUUAAUGUGUGUUCUUGUGGAGAUGCUGUUUUUGGGGGUGAUGGGGAAGGGGGGAAGUCGAUCGGAAGGGUCCCAGGUUCACACCUUCUAUGUAGGGUAUAUUUAAGCAAAGGUGUCUGUGGCUAGCAGACCCCGCGGGGUCCACGGAGCCUGCCUCCCCUUUCUCACGGGGCCAGAGGAGGGGGCAUCACCCUGAUCAGUACGGCUCAGGCACAUAGAAUCGGGACCCUCAAAUCCAUGCAACCCAGAAAAAUGAACCUUCAGUUGGCUCUGGAGGCCUGGUGGCGGGGAGCCCUUGUGACCUGUAUGACCUGAGGGAGCCCCGGGGAACCCCACCCCAGCCAGAGUUCCCGCAGGCUGCGACAGGGGGGACGUGGGCCUGGAAGCCAGGGCUGUGUGCACGCCCUUCCCUCUCCCACCCCGCGUGAUGGGGGGAGCCAGCAGGGAGUCGGGGAGUGCCGGAGCUGGAUGGGGGGCGCUGCCUCCCACUCAGGAAUCUUCCAGCAAGGAGCCUGCAGCCCCCACACAAAGGCACCCAGGCCUCCAGGUGUCUCUGGAGAAAGCUGCACAGGAAGCUGAGGGCUGUGGACCCAGUGGGGUGGGGAGUCCCUACAGGGCCACUGUGCAGGAGGACCUCCCUGACAUUCCCAGGGGACACUGGGCUGUGGCAGAGGUGACAGCCCCAGACAGCUCCCCACUCUUCCUGGCAGCGACUACUGGGCCUCCUGCCACCAGCAGGAGUGGGGAGGUGAGGCUGGCAAACGAGGCUGUGACUCCAAAGGGCAGCUUCUGCCCCUGACAUUGUUGGUGAAGAAAGCUGCCCCAGGGUGGUGGGGAUCUGCUUCUUGGGGUCCCACACCCCACUCCUAACUUGGGCCCCAGCUGCCUGGAAACCUGCCCUUAUGUGUGUUAGGCUACCUGCAGAUGUACGUGCACUACGGAGCACCGGGCCCUUUGUGUGGUCCCCAGCACCCUCUGCUCCUGUCCUGUUUGGGACCGUUGUCUGCACACCCCUGGGGCCUGGAGAAGUCAAGCUCUGGAUCCAGGGGAGACGCUGGGCCUCGACCAGGCUCUGGACCUGCCCACGGAGAUGGCAGCCCAGCUCACCCAGACCCCGGAGGGCGCUCCUCUGCUGGGGCUGCUCUUCCCACUGAAGCUAAUGUGCAGAGACCACAGUGCCCAAACAAACUCUCCACCAAAACUCCUGGAGCUCGGGAGAGAGGCUGGGAAGGGCAACAGGCCUCGGGAGGGUGUGCUUGGAGGUCGUACCUCCAAUCGCCAGUGACCAGAGGCAGAAAGGCUGACGGGGCCAUGAAGGUGGAGCAGAGGAGCUGGGUGUGAGGCUGGCCAGAGGAGGACAGAGGCAGCUGAAUGGUUCAGGUCCAUGGCCUCCAAAUGGGAAGAAGAAGAUAAAGGAAGACACACGCGCAUAAUACGGAAGUGGACUCCAAGACGCUUGCUGUACUUCAGACUUGGUGUGGUGUUCAGAGCUCCGUGUCCCUCAGAGGCACGUGCCUUUGCAGGAACGAGGACGUGGUGUUGGGACCCUUGUGUGUGACCUCCACGGGGGUGGAGAGACCGACGCGGAGGCUCUGUCAUCACUUUACUCGUGUUGAUGGCCCCUUGGAUUCUCAUCAGCAUCGGUUAUCAGAGAAUUGCUGGUUGUCCUUGUCCUCAUGCCUUUCUGAUCUUUCUGGAAAAUAACUAAUUUUGUGGAGCAAGUCAGUGAAGAAAAACAAAGUCAGUGGAUAGGCAGCUUUUCAGAGCACAUCAGCUCCCCACGGCCCCACGGGUGGCCAUGCCUCCUUGCCCCCACCGUGUGCCUGUUCCCUGGAGGCAGAGGUCUUCCCCUUACAUCCAUAAGCCACGACUCUCUGGAGAGUCUCUGCAGUGGGUCACACAGGGAAGUUAUAACGCUGCCCACCUCCUUUCCUGCCUGUGACCGGGAAUCCUAGCAAAAACGCGACGCAGCCCUGAGGAAGCUUCCUGGCUGACCUCUGCUUUGUAAGUUUGCUUUCACACUUUCUAUGGAUUAGGAGUUAGGCCUCACCCCGGCUGGCCCUGCCCAGGGUCCCCCACAGAUGCCACCAAGGUGCGGGCCAGGCUGCGCUCUCACUGGCAGAACUCAUUCCUGUGGUUGAAGGACUGACCACCAUGGCUUUACUGGGCGUGCCCGCGGUUCCCUGCCCCAGUCUGUCUCCUUCUCAAAGCCAGCAGGCACCACCCAGCCCAGGCCCAGCUGCCAGUCUGUGGAUGUUUGCCCGACGUCUAGGGGGACUUGCUGGUGCAGUAGGAGGCAUCUGUCAGAAGUUUAGAAAGAAUUGGAUUACCUGAUUAAUUUGUUUUUAUUUUAAACGUGAAAGAGCCAAAGAGAGGAAACGUGUUUAAAUCGUGAAUGACUGGCACGUGCCCAUCUGCGACCCAUGAAGAGCCUUACCCAGGACACAACGCGGAGGGAAUCGACUUGAAGCCACGGAAGGGCAGGACUCGUCGUGACCAGGUAGGUCACCCCGGGCCCAGUCACGGGCGGACAUGCCCCCGGCGGGGACGCUCCCGCGCCAGUUUCGGAAACCUGCAGCUUGGAAGGCCGAGAACGGCUUCCUCACCCUGAGAGGCGCAAGCACGGGGGCGCGAGGACGCUGGGGACACCGGGGACACGGGGGGGCGGGGAGAGGGACAGCCUCGCUCCCACCCCCGGAGCGGCUGCCCGGGCUCUCCUGGGGGGGGUGAGGGUGACUCAGCAGUUCUGCUUCUCGGCGCACUGAGGCUCAUGGGAGAUAUGCAGAUGAGCCCAGGGCACCAUGGGAAACAGGCCUUUAUAUUCCCAGGCGGGGGCCCUGUCCCCGCCUUUCUCUGGGCGCCCACAGGACUGAGGCGCCAGGCGGUGAGAGCCCCCUGGCCUGCGAAGAGAGGGCCGGGGACACCCGAG
Non-coding RNA from Manis javanica (Malayan pangolin), 11974 nucleotides. The record is from RefSeq and is a predicted model, not a curated record. Lineage: Eukaryota; Metazoa; Chordata; Mammalia; Pholidota; Manidae.